RNAcentral lists this RNase P RNA (254 nucleotides) under Dehalococcoidia bacterium. RNAcentral describes it as "RNase P RNA component class A". It matches the Rfam family "Bacterial RNase P class A", at positions 32 to 285 of the family's 367-position model. Rfam says of the family: Ribonuclease P (RNase P) is a ubiquitous endoribonuclease, found in archaea, bacteria and eukarya as well as chloroplasts and mitochondria. Its best characterised activity is the generation of mature 5'-ends of tRNAs by cleaving the 5'-leader elements of precursor-tRNAs. The record is from RNAcentral. Lineage: Bacteria; Bacillati; Chloroflexota; Dehalococcoidia.
CCCUGAAAGGGGAGGAAAGUCCGAGCUCCACCGGGUAGGGUGCUGGGUAACACCCAGGGGAGGCGACUCCACGGAAAGUGCCACAGAAACAUACCGCCGGCGGUUAACAAGUUGACCACCGGUAAGGUUGAAAUGGUGAGGUAAGAGCUCACCAGCUACUGGGCGACCAGUUGGUUAGGCAAACCCCAUCCGGAGCAAGACUAAAUAGAGGGACAUAGGGACACCCGGCCUGUCCCUGGGUUGGUCGCUUGACU